RNAcentral lists this long non-coding RNA (968 nucleotides) under Homo sapiens (human). Its description in RNAcentral is "HSALNT0254518". Lineage: Eukaryota; Metazoa; Chordata; Mammalia; Primates; Hominidae. The record is from RNAcentral.
ACAAAAAAAAUAAGACAGACCAGGCCUAGGAGACAGAACUUCUCACUCUUAGCUUGGAAUGUUCCUUUUUGAGACAGACAGGGUCUUGCUCUGUCGCCCAGGCUGGAGUGCAGUGGUGCAAUCAUGACCCACUGCAGCCUCAACCUCCUCCCAUGCUCAAGUGAUCCUCCCGCCUCAGCCUCACAAGUAGCUUGGAUUACAAGCAUGUGCCACCACACCUGGCUAAUUUUGUAUUUUUGGUAGAGAUGGAGUUUCUCCAUGUUGGUCAGGCUGGUCUCGAACUCCUGACCUCAAGUGAUCCACCCACCUCGGCCUCCCAAAGUGCUGAGAUUACAGGCGUGAGCCACUGCACCCGGCCUCGGUUUGAUUUUUAAAAGAUUCAGGGUCCUCCACCUCAUUUUAAGCACAAACAGGAAUCAGGCUCUGUUCCACCCCAAACCUCUUGGAGUCUCACUAACAAGAUGCCUGUGGAAAUAACCACACAUUUGCAGAAGAGAAGACUGGAGGGCUUCAAAUGUCCUCUCCUGGCCAUACAGAAGUGUUUCUGUGUAAAGACGCAUUGGGGGACACCCAGUGAGCUAGGAGAUAUUCACCAUGGGAUCCCUAGAAAUGUUCUUAGCCCACCUAAGCUUCGGGGCCACGGGAUGGAGAGCUGUGUCCACCUGCACUCCUGAAAGAGAAGAGCAGGUUGGACAUAAAGAGCUUGGGAGGGCAAGCGCGGUGGCUCAGGCCUGUAAUUCCCACACUGGGAAGCCGAGGCAGGUGGAUCACUUGAGGCCAGGAAUCCAAGACCAACCUGGACAACACAGUGAAACCCUGUCUCUACCGACAAAUACAAAAAUUAGCCGAGCAUGGUGGUGCGUUCCUGUAGUCCCAGCUACUCAGGUGGCUGAGGCACAAGAAUCAUUUGAACCUGGGAGGCGCAGGUUGCAGGGAGCUGAGAUCACAACACAGCAACUCUGUCUCAA